Anthonomus grandis grandis is the source of this 1369-nucleotide long non-coding RNA. RefSeq lists it as uncharacterized. NCBI's taxonomy places the organism in Eukaryota, Metazoa, Arthropoda, Insecta, Coleoptera, Curculionidae. The record is from RefSeq and is a predicted model, not a curated record. The transcript is spliced from 4 exons.
UUGAAUGUCCGACAGUGCUGCGCUCUUUCAUUUUUUAACCGGGCUAUUCUUACCGUAUUUUAAUUGUUUUUAACCAAAUCACUAACAAGAUUAGUUACGCCUUGACUUGAUAAACAAAUUUUAGUAAAAAAUUAAGUUUUUAGUGCCAAAAUAGAGGUAAAAAACCCGAAAUUUGAAUGGGCAAAUUGUGACUCACGAGUCGAUUGCGUAAUGGCCGCGGCACGAUGUGUUCGGAAGGCGGCGUGUAGCAUCAUCAUGGCUUUUGAUGGCAUGUGCCGUGCAAUAAAAUGGAAUCGUAAACGCAGAGGUGAUUAAGCAGGAUUGUAGUUCUAGUUCAGUGAUUGAAGUUCUACUAGGCUACUAUUGAAAUCUCUUUUUUGCACCAAACCGACCACUGUCCGAAUAAUUCUCCAAUUCAUAACCGUGAAAGGCAGGUGACAGUUUGUGCACCAAGUAUUAAGGACCAGAAGCCGUUUUAACCCACCGAGGCCUGUCUAUUUCACGAUACACACUGAAUUCCGGCACUCCGCCUUUAAUGUUUGUGAUGGCCAUUACUCAUAUCGAUGUCGCCAAAUUCAGGAUUGAAAAGGAACCAAUUCGUACAAGCAGUCCUGACCCAAACCCAUUCUCCGAAGAACCACUAGCAACUCCAUCUGCAAGCCAAUAGUCCAACCUCGCAGUGCCCUUUUACAAUACAGAAACCGAUAUUCGCCCACUCAGCAAUACUCCGCAACGUUCAAUAAGAGAACAUCUAGCCAUCUCGCCUUUUACCAAAGGAUCAAAAAAGGAUAGAACCAUAAUCAGGGCAAGAUGAUUCAGUUUAUGUAAGGACCCAUUAGCAAUCAAUACGAUGGGAGUUUUACGGCCAAUAAGGAACCGUUCCAGAACGAAAACGGCUUGUAGAAUGAGGCACAAACGUUUCUACUUACGAUAAGGUUACGGAAUAACUUUCGGUUAUGUUGUUUAUAUGCCAUAAGACCGACGUUUCUUUUACCUUUGCUUCUCUUAUACCUUUGGGAAACCACUUUUUUUAAUAAAAAUGUUGCAGAAGGUUAAAGUAGUGGCUUUAUGAAAUUUUUAUGAUGGCUGCGGUUGCGUUCAGUUGAAUUAUGCUUGGAUUCAUUUAUUUUAUUAAGUAGAUAAGUUUUAUGGGUGUUUAGCCAAUAUAUCAAUACUUAAAAAAGAGAUAGUUAAAAAUAAGCUUAUAUUAGAUAUAAUAUUUCAGCAAAAUUAGAACUGAACAAAUCUGCUUAUUUUCUUAAUUUAGACUUUAAAGCAUAACUUAAUAGGAUAUAAAUAACAUUUGCCUUUAAUUUUACUCAAGAGGUAAACCGGAUUGUUAUUUUUAUGUUAUAUUAUAAUAUUUUAA